AGUGAACGCUGGCGGUAGGCCUAACACAUGCCAGUCGAACGGCAACACAGUAAGAGCUUGCUCUUACGGGUGGCGAGUGGCGGACGGGUGAGGAAUACAUCGGAAUCUACUUUUUCGUGGGGGAUAACGUAGGGAAACUUACGCCAAUACCGCAUACGACCUACGGGUGAAAGCAGGGGAUCUUCGGACCUUGCGCGAUUGAAUGAGCCGAUGUCGGAUUAGCUAGUUGGCGGGGUAAAGGCCCACCAAGGCGACGAUCCGUAGCUGGUCUGAGAGGAUGAUCAGCCACACUGGAACUGAGACACGGUCCAGACUCCUACGGAAGGCAGCAGUGGGGAAUAUUGGACAAUGGGCGCAAGCCUGAUCCAGCCAUACCGCGUGGGUGAAGAAGGCCUUCGGGUUGUAAAGCCCUUUUGUUGGGAAAGAAAAGCAGCAGGUUAAUACCCCGCUGUUCUGACGGUACCCAAAGAAUAAGCACCGGCUAACUUCGUG
This 492-nucleotide ribosomal RNA is filed under the name uncultured bacterium. RNAcentral describes it as "partial 16S ribosomal RNA". It matches the Rfam family "Bacterial small subunit ribosomal RNA", at positions 29 to 507 of the family's 1533-position model. The record is from RNAcentral.